AGCGAACGCUGGCGGCAGGCCUAACACAUGCAAGUCGAGCGCCCGUAGCAAUACGGGAGCGGCAGACGGGAGAGUAACACGUGGGAACGUACCCUUCAGUUCGGAAUAACCCGGGGAAAC
This 120-nucleotide ribosomal RNA is filed under the name uncultured bacterium. Its description in RNAcentral is "partial 16S ribosomal RNA". It matches the Rfam family "Bacterial small subunit ribosomal RNA", at positions 29 to 157 of the family's 1533-position model. The record is from RNAcentral.